GAUGAACGCUGGCGGCGUGCCUAAUACAUGCAAGUCGAGCGAACAGACGAGGAGCUUGCUCCUCUGACGUUAGCGGCGGACGGGUGAGUAACACGUGGAUAACCUACCUAUAAGACUGGGAUAACUUCGGGAAACCGGAGCUAAUACCGGAUAAUAUAUUGAACCGCAUGGUUCAAUAGUGAAAGACGGUUUUGCUGUCACUUAUGGAUGGAUCCGCGCCGCAUUAGCUAGUUGGUAAGGUAACGGCUUACCAAGGCAACGAUGCGUAGCCGACCUGAGAGGGUGAUCGGCCACACUGGAACUGAGACACGGUCCAGACUCCUACGGGAGGCAGCAGUAGGGAAUCUUCCGCAAAAGGCGAAAGCCUGACGGAGCAACGCCGCGUGAGUGAUGAAGGUCUUCGGAUCGUAAAACUCUGUUAUUAGGGAAGAACAAAUGUGUAAGUAACUAUGCACGUCUUGACGGUACCUAAUCAGAAAGCCACGGCUAACUACGUG
This 497-nucleotide ribosomal RNA is filed under the name uncultured bacterium. RNAcentral describes it as "partial 16S ribosomal RNA". It matches the Rfam family "Bacterial small subunit ribosomal RNA", at positions 28 to 507 of the family's 1533-position model. The record is from RNAcentral.